Molecule: transfer RNA, 74 nt
Filed under: Acidobacteriota bacterium
Lineage: Bacteria; Pseudomonadati; Acidobacteriota
Description: Acidobacteria bacterium (hydrothermal vent metagenome) tRNA-Gln
Rfam family: tRNA
About the family: Transfer RNA (tRNA) molecules are approximately 80 nucleotides in length.
Source: RNAcentral
UGGGAGGUCGUUCAACGGCAGGACACGCGGCUCUGGACCGCGGAAUCAGGGUUCGAAUCCCUGCCUCCCAGCCA